RNAcentral lists this ribosomal RNA (130 nucleotides) under Alternaria alternata. RNAcentral's name for it is "partial small subunit ribosomal RNA". It matches the Rfam family "Eukaryotic small subunit ribosomal RNA", at positions 54 to 186 of the family's 1831-position model. Lineage: Eukaryota; Fungi; Ascomycota; Dothideomycetes; Pleosporales; Pleosporaceae. The record is from RNAcentral.
CAUGUCUAGUAUAAGCAUUAUACCGUGAAACUGCGAAUGGCUCAUUAAAUCAGUUAUCGUUUAUUUGAUAAUACCUUACUACUUGGAUAACCGUGGUAAUUCUAGAGCUCAUACAUGCUGAAAGUCCCGA